UACAGAGGGUGCAAGCGUUAAUCGGAAUUACUGGGCGUAAAGCGUGCGUAGACGGUUACGUAAGUUAGGUGUGAAAGCCCCGGGCUCAACCUGGGAAUUGCAUUUAAGACUGCGUAGCUAGGGUGCGGAAGAGGGAAGCGGAAUUUCCGGUGUAGCGGUGAAAUGCGUAGAUAUCGGAAGGAACAUCAGUGGCGAAGGCAAUCCCCUGGACCUGUACUGACGCUCAUGCACGAAAGCGUGGGGAGCAAACAGG
This 253-nucleotide ribosomal RNA is filed under the name uncultured bacterium. RNAcentral's name for it is "partial 16S ribosomal RNA". It matches the Rfam family "Bacterial small subunit ribosomal RNA", at positions 524 to 776 of the family's 1533-position model. The record is from RNAcentral.